Molecule: ribosomal RNA, 253 nt
Filed under: uncultured bacterium
Lineage: Bacteria
Description: partial 16S ribosomal RNA
Rfam family: Bacterial small subunit ribosomal RNA
Source: RNAcentral
UACGGAGGGCGCAAGCGGUAUCCGGAAUUACUGGGUUUAAAGGGUGCGUAGGCGGCUUGAUAAGUCAGAGGUGAAAGCCUAUCGCUUAACGAUAGAAUUGCCUUGGAUACUGUAAAGCUUGAAAGGGGUUGAGGUCAGCAGAAUGUGGCAUGUAGCGGUGAAAUGCAUAGAUAUGCCAUAGAACACCGAUUGCGAAGGCAGCUGGCUGGGCCUACUUUGACGCUGAGGCACGAAAGCGUGGGGAGCGAACAGG